Molecule: ribosomal RNA, 486 nt
Filed under: uncultured bacterium
Lineage: Bacteria
Description: partial 16S ribosomal RNA
Rfam family: Bacterial small subunit ribosomal RNA
Source: RNAcentral
AUUGAACGCUGGCGGCAUGCCUUACACAUGCAAGUCGAACGGCAGCACGGGUGCUUGCACCUGGUGGCGAGUGGCGAACGGGUGAGUAAUACAUCGGAACAUGUCCUGUAGUGGGGGAUAGCCCGGCGAAAGCCGGAUCAAUACCGCAUACGAUCUACGGAUGAAAGCGGGGGACCUUCGGGCCUCGCGCUAUAGGGUUGGCCGAUGGCUGAUUAGCUAGUUGGUGGGGUAAAGGCCUACCAAGGCGACGAUCAGUAGCUGGUCUGAGAGGACGACCAGCCACACUGGGACUGAGACACGGCCCAGACUCCUACGGGAGGCAGCAGUGGGGAAUUUUGGACAAUGGGCGAAAGCCUGACCCAGCAAUGCCGCGUGUGUGAAGAAGGCCUUCGGGUUGUAAAGCACUUUUGUCCGGAAAGAAAUCCUUGGCCCUAAUACGGUCGGGGGAUGACGGUACCGGAAGAAUAAGCACCGGCUAACUACGUG